GUAGAUUCUCUGAGGGAAAAAAAAAACCCUAUGUAGAUGGUGUUCUCAGCAGGUUAGAGUCAGACUGCAGAAGCAGGCCAGCCCCUCUGUAAGACCCACAUGAAGAUUACUGUUGCCACUGCCAGAUUAUGUUAUGUCUCAGCAGAGUCGCCACCUUCCUCUCUCUACUCCCCAUCCUGUUCCGCCUUCUGAAUCGCAGCAUCAAUUGUUGACUUAAGCAGGCAAAAACUCAAACUACAUUUGAAUAAAGAAUUUGUCAGUA
Molecule: small RNA, 262 nt
Filed under: Pan troglodytes (chimpanzee)
Lineage: Eukaryota; Metazoa; Chordata; Mammalia; Primates; Hominidae
Description: sense intronic
Source: RNAcentral